CCUACGGGAGGCAGCAGUGGGGAAUAUUGCACAAUGGGCGCAAGCCUGAUGCAGCAACGCCGCGUGAGGGACGACGGCCUUCGGGUUGUAAACCUCUUUUAGUAGGGAAGAAGCGAAAGUGACGGUACCUGCAGAAAAAGCACCGGCUAACUACGUGCCAGCAGCCGCGGUAAUACGUAGGGUGCAAGCGUUAUCCGGAAUUAUUGGGCGUAAAGAGCUCGUAGGCGGUUUGUCGCGUCUGCUGUGAAAACUGGAGGCUCAACCUCCAGCCUGCAGUGGGUACGGGCAAACUAGAGUGCGGUAGGGGAGAUUGGAAUUCCUGGUGUAGCGGUGGAAUGCGCAGAUAUCAGGAGGAACACCGAUGGCGAAGGCAGAUCUCUGGGCCGUAACUGACGCUGAGGAGCGAAAGCAUGGGGAGCGAACAGGAUUAGAUACCCUGGUAGUCCAUGCCGUAAACGUUGGGCGCUAGAUGUGGGGACCAUUCCACGGUUUCCGUGUCGCAGCUACGCAUAAGUACGCCCCGCCGUCGGGAGGUACGGCCGCGACGGACGUAAACUAACGAAACGAAGUAGACGGCGUGAGGACGUACGCCGACGACGACGACGAGGGAGAGG
RNAcentral lists this ribosomal RNA (614 nucleotides) under uncultured bacterium. Its description in RNAcentral is "bacterial SSU rRNA". The stretch from base 1 to 525 matches the Rfam family "Bacterial small subunit ribosomal RNA", at positions 338 to 873 of the family's 1533-position model. The record is from RNAcentral.